UGGGGAAUAUUGCACAAUUGGCGCAAGCCUGAUGCAGCCAUGCCGCGUGUAUGAAGAAGGCCUUCGGGUUGUAAAGUACUUUCAGCGGGGAGGAAGGGAGUAAAGUUAAUACCUUUGCUCAUUGACGUUACCCGCAGAAGAAGCACCGGCUAACUCCGUGCCAGCAGCCGCGGUAAUACGGCGGGUGCAAGCGUUAAUCGGAAUUACUGGGCGUAAAGCGCACGCAGGCGGUUUGUUAAGUCAGAUAUGAAAUCCCCGGGCUCAACCUGGGAGCUGCAUCUGAUACUGGCAGGCUUGAGUCUCGUAGAGGGGGGUAGAAUUCCGGGUGUAGCGGUGAAAUGCGUAGAGAUCUGGAGGAAUACAGGUGGCGAAGGCGGCCCCCUGGACGAAGACUGACGCUCAGGUGCGAAAGCGUGGGGAGCAAACAGG
RNAcentral lists this ribosomal RNA (429 nucleotides) under Chloroflexota bacterium. RNAcentral's name for it is "Chloroflexi bacterium partial 16S ribosomal RNA". It matches the Rfam family "Bacterial small subunit ribosomal RNA", at positions 355 to 776 of the family's 1533-position model. The record is from RNAcentral. Lineage: Bacteria; Bacillati; Chloroflexota.